UACGUAGGGUGCAAGCGUUAUCCGGAAUUAUUGGGCGUAAAGAGCUCGUAGGCGGUUUGUCGCGUCUGCUGUGAAAACUGGAGGCUCAACCUCCAGCCUGCAGUGGGUACGGGCAGACUAGAGUGCGGUAGGGGAGAUUGGAAUUCCUGGUGUAGCGGUGGAAUGCGCAGAUAUCAGGAGGAACACCGAUGGCGAAGGCAGAUCUCUGGGCCGGUACUGACGCUGAGGAGCGAAAGCGUGGGGAGCGAACAGG
Molecule: ribosomal RNA, 253 nt
Filed under: uncultured bacterium
Lineage: Bacteria
Description: partial 16S ribosomal RNA
Rfam family: Bacterial small subunit ribosomal RNA
Source: RNAcentral